This 274-nucleotide ribosomal RNA is filed under the name uncultured bacterium. RNAcentral describes it as "partial 16S ribosomal RNA". It matches the Rfam family "Bacterial small subunit ribosomal RNA", at positions 523 to 796 of the family's 1533-position model. The record is from RNAcentral.
AUACGGAGGGUGCAAGCGUUACUCGGAAUCACUGGGCGUAAAGCGCGCGCAGGCGGCUAUUUAAGUUGGAUGUGAAAGCCUACGGCUCAACCGUAGAACUGCAUCCAAAACUAUUUAGCUAAAGUGUGGGAGAGGAAGAUGGAAUUAGUUGUGUAGGGGUAAAAUCCGUAGAGAUAACUAGGAAUACCAAAAGCGAAGGCAAUCUUCUGGAACACUACUGACGCUGAGGCGCGAAAGCGUGGGGAGCAAACGGGAUUAGAAACCCCAGUAGUCC